RNAcentral lists this transfer-messenger RNA (388 nucleotides) under Patescibacteria group. RNAcentral's name for it is "GWA2-46-9 sp001791325 Standard tmRNA". It matches the Rfam family "transfer-messenger RNA". Rfam says of the family: Bacterial tmRNA, also known as 10Sa RNA or SsrA, is named for its dual tRNA and mRNA-like properties. Its role is to liberate the mRNA from a stalled ribosome. To accomplish this part of the tmRNA is used as a reading frame that ends in a translation stop signal. The record is from RNAcentral. RNAcentral also lists the same sequence under 6 other names.
GGGGAUGAUUGGAUUCGAUGGAGAGUUCUUUUCAAGAAAGGCAGGUAGAGCGCGAGAUCGCUCUUUAAUAUCUCUCAAAAAAAUAAUUGCCAAUACACUGGCUAGCAAGAUCAGAAACGCUUUUGCGUCUUUGACUCUUGUACCUGUUCUUGCCUAACUAAGGCGAGAGCCAUCCCACUCCUUUUGCUAGGGGAAGGAGAAAUGGGGUGUCAUAUAACCUUAGCGCGCCGUUUAGCUAGUUUCCGGCGAGGCGGCGCUAUCAAAGGGAACUCGAUCAUUGGUUGGCGCUUCGGACAAUUAGUGAUUUAAAUUAUCCCGCAAGCUAAUCCUGUAGUCUUUCUUGUUACCCACUCUUCAGACAGGGGUUCAAUUCCCCUCAUCUCCACCA